RNAcentral lists this ribosomal RNA (2914 nucleotides) under endosymbiont of Galathealinum brachiosum. RNAcentral's name for it is "bacterial LSU rRNA". It matches the Rfam family "Bacterial large subunit ribosomal RNA". The record is from RNAcentral. Lineage: Bacteria; Pseudomonadati; Pseudomonadota; Gammaproteobacteria.
GUUAUAUGGUUAAGUGAAUAAGUGCACACGGUGGAUGCCUAGGCGAUAAGAGGCGAUGAAGGACGUGGUAGUCUGCGAUAAGCCCUGGCGAGCUGACAAACUAGCUUUGACCCAGGGAUUUCCGAAUGGGGAAACCCACCUGCUUGCAGGUACCCUUAACUGAAUACAUAGGUUAGGGGAGCGAACCCGGGGAACUGAAACAUCUAAGUACCCGGAGGAAAAGAAAUCAACCGAGAUUCCGUCAGUAGCGGCGAGCGAACGCGGAACAGCCCUUAAGCUUAUAAAGACUUAAUAAAAUGCUCUGGAAAGUGCAGCCAUAGAAGGUGAUAGCCCUGUAUAUGAAGGGUCUUUUUAAGUGAAAUCGAGUAGGGCGGGACACGUGAUAUCCUGUCUGAAUUUGGGGGGACCACCCUCCAAGGCUAAAUACUCCUUAUCGACCGAUAGUGAACUAGUACCGUGAGGGAAAGGCGAAAAGAACCCCUGUGAGGGGAGUGAAAUAGAACCUGAAACCGUGUGCAUACAAGCAGUCGGAGCAGACUUGUUCUGUGACGGCGUACCUUUUGUAUAAUGGGUCAGCGACUUACAUUUUGUGGCAAGCUUAACCGUAUAGGGGAGGCGUAGGGAAACCGAGUCUUAAUAGGGCGUCAAGUCGCAAGGUGUAGACCCGAAACCGGGCGAUCUAUCCAUGGCCAGGUUGAAGGUUGGGUAAUACCAACUGGAGGACCGAACCGACUUAUGUUGAAAAAUGAGCGGAUGAGCUGUGGAUCGGAGUGAAAGGCUAAUCAAGCCCGGAGAUAGCUGGUUCUCCUCGAAAUCUAUUUAGGUAGAGCCUCAUGUAUCACUUCUGGGGGUAGAGCACUGUUAUGGCUAGGGGGUCAUCCCGACUUACCAAACCAUUGCAAACUCCGAAUACCAGAAAGUGCGAGCAUGGGAGACAGACAGUGGGUGCUAACGUCCAUUGUCAAGAGGGAAACAACCCAGACCAUCAGCUAAGGUCCCAAAAUUAUGGCUCAGUGGGAAACGAUGUGGGAAGGCUUAGACAGCUAGGAGGUUGGCUUAGAAGCAGCCAUCCUUUAAAGAAAGCGUAAUAGCUCACUAGUCGAGUCGGCCUGCGCGGAAGAUUUACCGGGGCUUAAGCCAUAUACCGAAGCUAUGGGAUUACACUUAUGUGUGAUCGGUAGAGGAGCGUUCUGUACGCCUGCGAAGGUGACCUGUAAGGGUUGCUGGAGGUAUCAGAAGUGCGAAUGCUGACGUGAGUAACGAUAAUGCGAGUGAAAAACUCGCACGCCGAAAACCCAAGGUUUCCUGCUCAACGCUAAUCGGAGCAGGGUUAGUCGGACCCUAAGGCGAGGUCGAAAGACGUAGUCGAUGGGAAACAGAUUAAUAUUUCUGUACCGCUGAUAACUGCGAUGGGGGGACGGAGCAAGCUAGACGUACCGGGCGAUGGUUGUCCCGGGGAAAGUGUGUAGGUUUAGAGUUUAGGAAAAUCCGGACUCUUUUAAGACUGAGACACGAGACCAACUCUCUUUUGAGUGAAGUCGUCGAUGCUAUACUUCCAGGAAAAUCCUCUAAGCUUCAGGUUAUCAGGACCGUACCCCAAACCAACACAGGUGGGUGGGAUGAGAAUUCUAAGGCGCUUGAGAGAACUCGGGUGAAGGAACUAGGCAAAAUGGAUCCGUAACUUCGGGAGAAGGAUCACCCUUAACUGUUAGAAGACUUGCUCUUCAAAGCGGAUGAGGGUUGCAAUAAAUUGGUGGCUGCGACUGUUUACUAAAAACAUAGCACUCUGCAAACUCGCAAGAGGACGUAUAGGGUGUGACGCCUGCCCGGUGCCGGAAGGUUAAUUGAUGGGGUUAUCUUCGGAGAAGCUCUUGAUCGAAGCCCCGGUAAACGGCGGCCGUAACUAUAACGGUCCUAAGGUAGCGAAAUUCCUUGUCGGGUAAGUUCCGACCUGCACGAAUGGCGUAACGAUGGCCACACUGUCUCCACCCGAGACUCAGUGAAAUCGAAAUCGCAGUUAAGAUGCUGUGUACCCGCGGCUAGACGGAAAGACCCCGUGAACCUUUACUAUAGCUUUGCACUGAACGUUGAGCCUACUUGUGUAGGAUAGGUGGGAGCCUUUGAAACCCGAUCGCUAGAUUGGGUGGAGGCAACCUUGAAAUACCACCCUGGUAUGUUUGACGUUCUAACCUGGACCCCUUAUCGGGGUUAGGGACAGUGUAUGGUGGGUAGUUUGACUGGGGCGGUCUCCUCCAAAAGAGUAACGGAGGAGUACGAAGGUGCACUCAGCGCGGUCGGACAUCGCGCAAUGAGCAUAAUGGUAGAAGUGCGCUUGACUGCGAGACAGACACGUCGAGCAGGUGCGAAAGCAGGUCAUAGUGAUCCGGUGGUUCUUAGUGGAAGGGCCAUCGCUCAACGGAUAAAAGGUACUCCGGGGAUAACAGGCUGAUACCGCCCAAGAGUUCAUAUCGACGGCGGUGUUUGGCACCUCGAUGUCGGCUCAUCACAUCCUGGGGCUGAAGCAGGUCCCAAGGGUAUGGCUGUUCGCCAUUUAAAGUGGUACGCGAGCUGGGUUUAGAACGUCGUGAGACAGUUCGGUCCCUAUCUGCCGUGGGCGUUGGAAACUUGAGAGGAGCUGCUCCUAGUACGAGAGGACCGGAGUGGACGAACCCCUGGUGUUUGGGUUGUCAUGCCAAUGGCAUUGCCCAGUAGCUACGUUCGGAACUGAUAACCGCUGAAAGCAUCUAAGCGGGAAGCAGGCCUCAAGAUGAAGUUUCCCUAAUCUCUUGAAGAUUCUAAAGGGUCGUUGAAGACUACAACGUUGAUAGGCAGGGUGUGGAAGAGCAGUAAUGCUUGAAGCUAACCUGUACUAAUUGCCCGUGCGGCUUAACCAUAUAACCCCAAGUGACUUGGG